Sycon ciliatum is the source of this 579-nucleotide long non-coding RNA. RefSeq lists it as uncharacterized. NCBI's taxonomy places the organism in Eukaryota, Metazoa, Porifera, Calcarea, Leucosolenida, Sycettidae. The transcript is spliced from 3 exons. The record is from RefSeq and is a predicted model, not a curated record.
GAUUUGCAGGACUGCCUUUUCCGGUUUAUCACAGAACGUGGAGUAAGACCGGCUUGGAUCUAUGGCACAUGGGCCGCUCGGGGUGUAAAUUACGGUCAUACAGUGGGUCACCUUGGCUUACUGAUGAGACCAGCACUGGCUGAUGAACCGGUUUCCGUCAUCUGUGUAAAACGACGAGCAAUGGUGCACAGGUGUCGUAAUUAUGACCUUUACCAUGUCAUGAAUGCAAGAUCUGCAAACCAUAAUGAUGCCAAGAAACGAUGUGAAGACGCACAGAUGUCCCUUCCAAAGUCGAGGUCAGACGAAUGUCUUGGUUCAUUCCUGCGCAUACUGGCCAUAACGCAUGUAAAUAAUGUUUGGAUUCAAGGAGUUGGCGACCAAUAUUAUAGCAACCCAUUGGCCAUCAUCUGUGUUAAAGGUUUGUACUGCGAUGUGCCUGCUAUUGCUGAUGGAAAAGCCGACAAGAAGUCGGUCCGACUUACGCAAGAUGUUAGUUAUUCCUGCAACAACGGUCACCCACUAGUGGGGAAUUCGACGGUAACUUGCCAAACAGAUGGAACGCUCACUUCAGUACCUUUC